GUUGCUGUGAAAUAAGGAAAACAUUGGUUCUAGAUGAAAUCAUGUGUUAUUGUGUACAGUUUGACACUAGCUAACCUGCUUUAUUUUGAAAAUGAUGAACUCAUAUGCGGAUAUACAGAGCAGCAAUACCAAUCCAAUGUUGUGCUGGCAAGAAUAUGAGCAAAUGUGCCAAAGCGAUGGAACAACAUUGCGGUAAACUGGAUGAUGAGAAUCAAAGCAAAAAAGAAGACGAAAACAAGACCAAUGGGCUCGAUCUGCAGAUAUUCCUUAGUUAU
RNAcentral lists this unclassified non-coding RNA (275 nucleotides) under Athalia rosae (coleseed sawfly). RNAcentral's name for it is "misc RNA ENSAEAG00005006195.1". Lineage: Eukaryota; Metazoa; Arthropoda; Insecta; Hymenoptera; Athaliidae. The record is from RNAcentral.